GAUUGACAUUUACUUGUGGGUAGAAAUUGUUAUAGCUGAUUUGACUAGGAUAAUGAAUGGGCUGUGUGCCCCACUGCAACUUUUUGUUGCAUGCCCCGCUCACCCUCCUCGUGACAAGGAUUCCAUCACACAUGGAUGCAGAAACAAUUUAUUGCAUGGAGCAGCAGGAGAAGAUCAUUCUGAUACAAUUUAAACUUGGCAGCCUGAGGAAAAAACUACACAUUUUUCAUAUCAAUACUUUUCACCCAUUCUAAAAAAGAACAAUAUGUUGUAUUGGAUUUCCAGCUAAGAGAGUGACACCCACCUGUACAGACAGAUGGAUUGGGUGGCAUAGAUGCAAAAACCUGGGACUAACUUAGUUGUUCAACUUUUCAAUUUGGCACAGCUCAACAGAAUAAGACUAGAUGCCAUGGCAGAAAUCCUAUUCCAAAAUGCCACAUACAUGAGGAAGAUCGCACAAGCAAUUUUCAUGAUGACCUUUUUUUUGUACAACUGGGUAUGCAACUGAUGAGCACCAGUGCAGGGUGUGUCAUAACACGAGAGACAUCAGACACUCCAUUAUUUUAUGAUUGUACACGCUGGUGGUGUGAUUUCUGGUUUGUGCUGUGCAAUCCCAAUGGGAUUCGUGCCCUGAAGAAAUUUGGCCAUUUGCUGGUGGCUGUAAAUGUUGUCUACUGCCUGGUGGAUCACAUACCACCAUUCUAUCACAAGGACAGGAAAGAGCCACCUGAUAUUGAAAGGGAUGCCCCCCCCCAUGUAUUUCCUAUUGGAGACCAAUUGUCAAAUUGCGGAUAGUUAUACAAUUUUCUGUGCCACAGCUCCCUGUAAUGAAUCUGGAGAGUUGCUGGGUGGCCUACAGGCUGCAGAUUCUGUAUUCGAGAUAUGUUCCAAGGGCUUUUUUCAGGAUGAUCCUGGAAAAGCUUGGAGAUAUGAAAUCACUGGAGAAAUUUGGGGAAAGUGGGUGGGAGGGAGAGAAAAACUGGGUUUUAGGAUGGAUAGGAAGCUUGACAGUCAAUUCAUGGUAGCGUACAUAUCAUCAAAGUGCAAACCUAAGAAUGGCAUUGGAUAAAAAGAGAGAAAGAAGUGAUAGCAGUUUAUUUGGCAAUAGUGAACUGCAGCUGAAAUGGCUGAUUCCUAUUGGAUUCUAAAAUGGCUAGAAAUGUGUGUCACCCCCCAGUGAUGAC
RNAcentral lists this long non-coding RNA (1184 nucleotides) under Pogona vitticeps (central bearded dragon). RNAcentral describes it as "lncRNA (ENSPVIG00000001836.1)". The record is from RNAcentral. Lineage: Eukaryota; Metazoa; Chordata; Lepidosauria; Squamata; Agamidae.